This 73-nucleotide transfer RNA is filed under the name Felis catus (domestic cat). It matches the Rfam family "tRNA". Rfam says of the family: Transfer RNA (tRNA) molecules are approximately 80 nucleotides in length. Their secondary structure includes four short double-helical elements and three loops (D, anti-codon, and T loops). Lineage: Eukaryota; Metazoa; Chordata; Mammalia; Carnivora; Felidae. The record is from Rfam by way of RNAcentral. RNAcentral also lists the same sequence under 2 other names.
ACCUGGCUGGCUUAAUCGGUAGAGCAUGAGACUCUUGCUCUUGGGGUUGUGUGUUCAAGCCCCAUGUUGGGAA